UGUGGCGUAGACCGUAACUGGUAGCGGACCGCACUGUUAAUGCGGCGCGAAAGCCUCUGCAGGUUCGAAUCCUGCCGCCACAG
RNAcentral lists this transfer RNA (83 nucleotides) under Humisphaera borealis. RNAcentral's name for it is "tRNA-Asn". It matches the Rfam family "tRNA". From Rfam's summary of the family: Transfer RNA (tRNA) molecules are approximately 80 nucleotides in length. Their secondary structure includes four short double-helical elements and three loops (D, anti-codon, and T loops). Further hydrogen bonds mediate the characteristic L-shaped molecular structure. tRNAs have two regions of fundamental functional importance: the anti-codon, which is responsible for specific mRNA codon recognition, and the 3' end, to which the tRNAs corresponding amino acid is attached (by aminoacyl-tRNA synthetases). tRNAs cope with the degeneracy of the genetic code in two manners: having more than one tRNA (with a specific anti-codon) for a particular amino acid; and 'wobble' base-pairing, i.e. permitting non-standard base-pairing at the 3rd anti-codon position. RNAcentral also lists the same sequence under 2 other names. The record is from RNAcentral. Lineage: Bacteria; Pseudomonadati; Planctomycetota; Phycisphaerae; Tepidisphaerales; Tepidisphaeraceae.